RNAcentral lists this ribosomal RNA (392 nucleotides) under uncultured bacterium. Its description in RNAcentral is "bacterial SSU rRNA". It matches the Rfam family "Bacterial small subunit ribosomal RNA", at positions 28 to 422 of the family's 1533-position model. The record is from RNAcentral.
GACGAACGCUGGCGGCGUGCUUAACACAUGCAAGUCGAGCGGUAAGGCCCUUUCGGGGGUACACGAGCGGCGAACGGGUGAGUAACACGUGGGUGACCUGCCCUUAGCUCUGGGAUAAGCCUGGGAAACUGGGUCUAAUACCGGAUAUGACUCCAUGACGCAUGUUGUGGGGUGGAAAGCCUUGUGCGGCUAGGGAUGGGCCUGCGGCCUAUCAGCUUGUUGGUGGGGUGAUGGCCUACCAAGGCGACGACGGGUAGCCGGCCUGAGAGGGCGACCGGCCACACUGGGACUGAGACACGGCCCAGACUCCUACGGGAGGCAGCAGUGGGGAAUCUUGCGCAAUGGGCGAAAGCCUGACGCAGCGACGCCGCGUGGGGAUGACGGCCUCGUGU